RNAcentral lists this ribosomal RNA (423 nucleotides) under uncultured bacterium. RNAcentral describes it as "bacterial SSU rRNA". It matches the Rfam family "Bacterial small subunit ribosomal RNA", at positions 506 to 929 of the family's 1533-position model. The record is from RNAcentral.
UGCCAGCAGCCGCGGUAAUACGUAGGUCCCGAGCGUUGUCCGGAUUUAUUGGGCGUAAAGCGAGCGCAGGUGGUUUAUUAAGUCUGGUGUAAAAGGCAGUGGCUCAACCAUUGUAUGCAUUGGAAACUGGUAGACUUGAGUGCAGGAGAGGAGAGUGGAAUUCCAUGUGUAGUGGUGAAAUGCGUAGAUAUAUGGAGGAACACCGGUGGUGAAAGCGGCUCUCUGGCCUGUAACUGACACUGAGGCUCGAAAGCGUGGGGAGCAAACAGGAUUAGAUACCCUGGUAGUCCACGCCGUAAACGAUGAGUGCUAGAUGUAGGGAGCUAUAAGUUCUCUGUAUCGCAGCUAACGCAAUAAGCACUCCGCCUGGGGAGUACGACCGCAAGGUUGAAACUCAAAGGAAUUGACGGGGGCCCGCACAAG